Molecule: transfer RNA, 81 nt
Filed under: Candidatus Pacearchaeota archaeon
Lineage: Archaea; Nanobdellati
Description: tRNA-Ser
Rfam family: tRNA
About the family: Transfer RNA (tRNA) molecules are approximately 80 nucleotides in length. Their secondary structure includes four short double-helical elements and three loops (D, anti-codon, and T loops). Further hydrogen bonds mediate the characteristic L-shaped molecular structure. tRNAs have two regions of fundamental functional importance: the anti-codon, which is responsible for specific mRNA codon recognition, and the 3' end, to which the tRNAs corresponding amino acid is attached (by aminoacyl-tRNA synthetases). tRNAs cope with the degeneracy of the genetic code in two manners: having more than one tRNA (with a specific anti-codon) for a particular amino acid; and 'wobble' base-pairing, i.e. permitting non-standard base-pairing at the 3rd anti-codon position.
Source: RNAcentral
GCCGACGUGCCAGAGUGGUAAUGGAACGGUCUCGAAAACCGUGCCCUUUUGGGCUCCUAGGUUCGAAUCCUAGCGUCGGCG